AUGAAACUGCUGGAAGUAGAAGUUUUCUGUUUAUUCACAAAACCAAUACAGCAUAGUCAGUAACAGUUUCCUCACACUGCCCUGCCAAUGUACCUCAACCCUGACUUAGCUAGCAAAGUAAUCUGCUUUCUGUGCCCAUUCAGUCAUUGGCCAUU
RNAcentral lists this small RNA (155 nucleotides) under Chrysemys picta bellii (western painted turtle). RNAcentral's name for it is "TUC338 (ENSCPBG00000028292.1)". Lineage: Eukaryota; Metazoa; Chordata; Testudines; Emydidae. The record is from RNAcentral.